This 493-nucleotide ribosomal RNA is filed under the name uncultured bacterium. RNAcentral describes it as "bacterial SSU rRNA". It matches the Rfam family "Bacterial small subunit ribosomal RNA", at positions 28 to 533 of the family's 1533-position model. The record is from RNAcentral.
GACGAACGCUGGCGGCGUGCUUAAAACAUGCAAGUCGAACGGACUUCUCAUGAAGCUUGCGAUUGAGAAGUUAGUGGCGGACGGGUGAGUAACGCGUGGGCAACCUGCCCCUGAGCCCGGGAUAACAGUUCGAAAGGACUGCUAAGACCGGAUAUACUUGCGGGGAAGCAUUUCACUGCAAGGAAAGGGAACGCUCAGGGAUGGGCCCGCGUCCCAUUAGCUAGUUGGUGAGGUAACGGCCCACCAAGGCGACGAUGGGUAGCCGGCCUGAGAGGGUGAACGGCCACACUGGGACUGAGACACGGCCCAGACUCCUACGGGAGGCAGCAGUUGGGAAUCUUCGGCAAUGGGCGCAAGCCUGACCGAGCAACGCCGCGUGAGUGAUGAAGGUUUUCGGAUUGUAAAGCUCUGUCUUCCGGGACGAUAAUGACGGUACCGGAGGAGGAAGCCACGGCUAACUACGUGCUAGCAGCCGACGGUAAAAGUGUGUGUA